Molecule: ribosomal RNA, 520 nt
Filed under: uncultured Entrophospora
Lineage: Eukaryota; Fungi; Glomeromycota; Glomeromycetes; Entrophosporales; Entrophosporaceae
Description: SSU rRNA
Rfam family: Eukaryotic small subunit ribosomal RNA
Source: RNAcentral
AGCAGCCGCGGUAAUUCCAGCUCCAAUAGCGUAUAUUAAAGUUGUUGCAGUUAAAAAGCUCGUAGUUGAAUUUCGGGAUUGGCGCAUCGGUCGUGCCUCACGGGGUAUGAACUGGUGCAGUCAAUUUCUCACCUUCUGGAGAACCGCGAUGUCCUUAAUUGGAUGCCGCGGGGAACCAGGACCUUUACUUUGAAAAAAUUAGAGUGUUUAAAGCAGGCAUUUUUGCUUGAAUACAUUAGCAUGGAAUAAUAAAAUAGGACGGCAUGGUUCUAUUUUGUUGGUUUCUAGGACCACCGUAAUGAUUAAUAGGGAUAGUUGGGGGCAUUAGUAUUCAAUUGUCAGAGGUGAAAUUCUUGGAUUUAUUGAAGACUAACUACUGCGAAAGCAUUUGCCAAGGAUGUUUUCUAUUAAUCAAGAACGAAGUUAGGGGAUCGAAGACGAUCAGAUACCGUCGUAGUCUUAACCAUAAACUAUGCCGACUAGGAAUCAGACGAUGUUAAUUUUUAAUUGACUCGUUAGG